RNAcentral lists this signal recognition particle RNA (300 nucleotides) under Aotus nancymaae (Ma's night monkey). RNAcentral describes it as "Metazoan signal recognition particle RNA (ENSANAG00000005661.1)". It matches the Rfam family "Metazoan signal recognition particle RNA". Rfam says of the family: The signal recognition particle (SRP) is a universally conserved ribonucleoprotein. It is involved in the co-translational targeting of proteins to membranes. The record is from RNAcentral. Lineage: Eukaryota; Metazoa; Chordata; Mammalia; Primates; Aotidae.
GCUGAGCACGGUGGCACGUGCCUGUAGUUCCAGCUACUUGGGAGGCUGAGGCUGGAGGAUCGCUUGAGCCCAGGAGUUCUGGGCUGUAGUGUGCUGUGCCCAUUGGGUGUCCGCACUAAGUUCGGCAUCAAUAUGGUGACCUCCCGGGGAUCAGGGGACCACCAGGUUGCCUAAGGAGGGGUGAACUGGCCCAGGUUGGAAAUGGAGCAGGUCAAAACUCCCGUGCUGAUCAGUUGUGGGAUCACGCCUGUGAAUAGCCACUGCACUCCAGCCUGGGCAACAUAGCAAAAAGCUGUUUCU